CAGCAGCCCCAACGUCCUGAAAGUUUCAGGGUGGAGAGUGUCGGGUGGAGGCCUUGGGUGCGAGAGAAUACGAUGGCUGAAGUGUGUCUCCGGGGCAGCGCAUCUUACACUUCCAUGUUGGGGAUCGGAUCGGGGCUUUUUCUCGCAUUCUCAUUUGAUCCACUCAGUUGUAUUUACUGAACGUUCACUUAGCGCCCGUCUGUCCCCCUAGGCCGUAAGCUCCUUGAGAGCAGGGAUCAAGCCUACUGAUUCUAUCGAAUUCCCCCCGAAGGGAGUACGACACUCCGCACACAGCGGGCCCUAAAUCGAUACCAUUCAUUGAUCCAUCAGAACGGACACAGUCGCUGCCCCUCACAGGGCUCACUGUGUAAGAGGGAGGGAGAGCAGGGAUCUUGCCCCGAAUUUACAGUGUUUGGGAGAGUACGAUUCGUCGGAGCUGGCAGACGUUCCCCGAGGCCCCACCGUCUCCUAGAGGAAGGCAGGUCUCAUCGACCUUCUCUGCAGCCCGCUCCCAGUGGGAACGGCUCUCGGACCUUCUAAUUAGAUUGUUAAACGUAACAGCCGAAUCACCCGCCGGGGAAGAAUUUGCCCUCCUCUUUGUGAGCGCCGAACUGGCUCAGAAAAGACCGGGGCUUCUUCCAGCCCAUUUCCCUCCUCAUCACGGCUGAUGGCUCUCGUUCCUCCUACCUGAUGCCCCUCUGGCGGCGCCCAGCUAGAAACCGAGAAUCACGCGGCCUGGGACGUGCUUAGUACGGUGCUCUACCCACAUGAAGGGUACGGCGCAGUAGCCCGGGAAAUACGACUUUCCGACCGACUGGCACCCAGUCCAGCCCUCUGCACAUCGCAGGGGCUCACGAAAUACUUCUCAACACGGAUUCCCUCUCUAAAUCGGUGACUCGGGCGACACUCCAAGACUCCCCCCGCCCUCCGCUGCCGCUCCUGUCCGGGGAUGCCCCGAAGACAAAUCCAGGUUCCGGCCGCGUGGCGAGACGCGAGGCACGGUGCAGCUGAUUUCGCUCCUUGGAUUGCUAAGAAAAUAACCUCUGGCUCCGGGAGGGAUCCGGUUUUAUCUUCCCCGUCCGAGAGCCAGCAGCGGUGCCCGGUUGGGGGACGUCCAUCUGCCUUGACACGUGCCAUCAAUCUCCUCUCCUACUUCUUGGGACGCCAUAGCCCCGGGCCUAGCAAACAGCAGAUGUUUAAUAAAUGAUCAUCACAGCAUU
Molecule: long non-coding RNA, 1220 nt
Organism: Ornithorhynchus anatinus (platypus)
Lineage: Eukaryota; Metazoa; Chordata; Mammalia; Monotremata; Ornithorhynchidae
Exons: 7
Source: RefSeq, a predicted model, not a curated record